Molecule: long non-coding RNA, 1088 nt
Filed under: Callithrix jacchus (white-tufted-ear marmoset)
Lineage: Eukaryota; Metazoa; Chordata; Mammalia; Primates; Cebidae
Description: lncRNA (ENSCJAG00000052273.2)
Source: RNAcentral
CGUUAACGUCUGGCGUCCUUUGUGCCCGCUCCUCUCCUUCCAGUACCUGUCAGACGCCUCUUCUACCCUGCGCCCUCCCCCGCCGCCAUUGCUCGCAGGUGCCUCGCGCAUAUUUUGAUGUUCCCGCCCCGCCACCUACUCCGCAUUGUCAACGGGUGCCUGGCGCCCAUACCUUGUCUCGAGAAUCCCUUAAGGUCGCCCUUCCGCGCAGAUAUGGUACUCGUGCCUGUCUUUUCACGUGCCCCACUCACUCAGGUUUGAACGUUGCAUUUCCUGGCAACAGGAGAAUGCUCCCUUCCCCUUUGGUCAGUUGGUAUCAGACAAGAGGACGCUCAGAGCCAGCUCUUGAGAGUUCAAGCAACAGAAAAUAUCCCACUGCUCCCAGGAGCGGUUACCAGGGCACUCUCUGCCGUUUAUCCCUGUCCCGGUCCCGUCCCGGAGCCGAGGACCCUCCAGUAGGACUCAGUCGCCUUGAGCCUGCUGCCCACAUCCCUCACUUCACUUUGCUCGUGGGAUCUCUCCGUUGCUCCUGCCCCUGGACGGAGUGGCAAGCCAUCCUACCAGGACAGGGCCAUGACCCCAGAGGAUGAAGCAGCAGCAUUUAUUCAAGAUACAACAGUGAGGGGAUCCCGUCACAUUCCAGUCUCCCCGGAGAGGGCACAUCUUGAGAAGUGAUCCAGGAGACAUAGAUGGGGUUUGCUGCAUUAUCCAGACUGGUCUCCAACACCUGGGUUCAGUUAUCCUGCUGUGGUCUCUCAAAGUGCUGGGAUUAUAGGCAUGAGCCUCCACACCCAAACACUUGGGGUGGUUUUAAGCCCCCAGUAAGGUGCACCAGCAGGACCAAGAGGUGGCCUGGGCCUCCCCAACACUCUCAUCCAUGCAGACCUAGGACUGAAGCAGAGGGUGCUGUUUCUACGCCACCACCAGGAAAGAGGCAGAGGGGCUGGGCCGUGCUGGAGUCCUCUGGGAGGGAGCAACCUCAACCCUGGCUGUGCUGCAAGCUGGUUCCAGCCCUGCAGGGUCUCAAAUUACUGCAGAAGGCAGUGGAUUACUUCUCAUGGUCACAACGAGCUGGAGACCUCUCCUGA